GACGAACGCUGGCGGCGUGCUUAACACAUGCAAGUCGAACGGAAAGGCCCUGCUUUUGUGGGGUGCUCGAGUGGCGAACGGGUGAGUAACACGUGAGUAACCUGCCCUUGACUUUGGGGUAACUUCAGUAAACUGGGGCUAAUACCGGAUAGGAGCUCCUGCUGCAUGGUGGGGGUUGGAAAGUUUCGGCGGUUGGGGAUGGACUCGCGGCUUAUCAGCUUGUUGGUGGGGUAGUGGCUUACCAAGGCUUUGACGGGUAGCCGGCCUGAGAGGGUGACCGGCCACAUUGGGACUGAGAUACGGCCCAGACUCCUACGGGAGGCAGCAGUGGGGAAUAUUGCACAAUGGGCGGAAGCCUGAUGCAGCAACGCCGCGUGCGGGAUGACGGCCUUCGGGUUGUAAACCGCUUUCGCCUGUGACGAAGCGUGAGUGACGGUAAUGGGUAAAGAAGCACCGGCUAACUACGUG
RNAcentral lists this ribosomal RNA (468 nucleotides) under uncultured bacterium. RNAcentral describes it as "partial 16S ribosomal RNA". It matches the Rfam family "Bacterial small subunit ribosomal RNA", at positions 28 to 507 of the family's 1533-position model. The record is from RNAcentral.